AUUCUGACCUUAUUAGUUUUUUUUCUUUUUUUUUCCCCUUUUUAUGACAUCUGUAUUAAUCUGAACCAUAGAUUCUUGUAUGAUUUUAUUGUUACUAAUUUUUUUUUUUUUGGGGCAGUGACUGAAGCACUUGUAUUCUAUUGGCUUGUAAACUACUUUUUUUUUUUUUAGUAGUUUUUAGCAAUGAUGGCAAGAAUUCGCAAUGAUUUUGCUCAUCAUAGAUUCAGUGGUUGGGGGACAUUGUUUAUGCAUUGAAAUCCAG
This 262-nucleotide unclassified non-coding RNA is filed under the name Hevea brasiliensis (rubber tree). Lineage: Eukaryota; Viridiplantae; Streptophyta; Magnoliopsida; Malpighiales; Euphorbiaceae. The record is from RNAcentral.